Molecule: ribosomal RNA, 292 nt
Filed under: uncultured bacterium
Lineage: Bacteria
Description: partial 16S ribosomal RNA
Rfam family: Bacterial small subunit ribosomal RNA
Source: RNAcentral
GUGUCAGCCGCCGCGGUAAGACAGAGGGUGCAAACGUUGUUCGGAUUUACUGGGCGUAAAGCGCGUGUAGGCGGCUUGGCAAGUCGGAUGUGAAAGCCCACGGCUCAACCGUGGAAGCGCACCCGAAACGGCCUCGCUCGAGUCUCGGAGAGGAAGGUGGAAUGCUUGGUGUAGAGGUGAAAUUCGUAGAUAUCAAGCAGAACACCUGCGGCGAAGGCGGCCUUCUGGACGAUGACUGACGCUGAGACGCGAAAGCGUGGGGAGCAAACAGGAUUAGAAACCCCUGUAGUCC